UGGAGGCAGCAGUGGGGAAUCUUCCGCAAUGGACGAAAGUCUGACGGAGCAACGCCGCGUGAGUGAAGAAGGCCUUCGGGUUGUAAAACUCUGUCUUUAGGGACGAAAGAUUUUUCUGUAAAUAAUGGAGAGAUGUGACGGUACCUAAGGAGGAAGCCCCGGCUAACUACGUGCCAGCAGCCGCGGUAAUACGUAGGGGGCAAGCGUUGUCCGGAAUCAUUGGGCGUAAAGGGCGCGUAGGCGGACAUUUAAGUCUGGUGUGAAAGACUGGGGCUCAACCCCAGGGUGGCAUCGGAAACUGGGUGUCUUGAGGACAGGAGAGGAAAGUGGAAUUCCACGUGUAGCGGUGAAAUGCGUAGAGAUGUGGAGGAACACCAGUGGCGAAGGCGACUUUCUGGACUGUCACUGACGCUGAGGCGCGAAAGCGUGGGGAGCAAACAGGAUUAGAUACCCUGGUAGU
Molecule: ribosomal RNA, 460 nt
Filed under: uncultured bacterium
Lineage: Bacteria
Description: bacterial SSU rRNA
Rfam family: Bacterial small subunit ribosomal RNA
Source: RNAcentral